This 90-nucleotide transfer RNA is filed under the name Deltaproteobacteria bacterium. RNAcentral describes it as "tRNA-Ser". It matches the Rfam family "tRNA". From Rfam's summary of the family: Transfer RNA (tRNA) molecules are approximately 80 nucleotides in length. Lineage: Bacteria; Pseudomonadati; Myxococcota; Myxococcia. The record is from RNAcentral.
GGUGGAAUGGCCGAGUGGUUGAAGGCGCUGGUCUUGAAAACCAGAAACGGGGAAACUCGUUCGGGGGUUCGAAUCCCUCUUCCACCGCCA